This 460-nucleotide ribosomal RNA is filed under the name uncultured bacterium. RNAcentral's name for it is "partial 16S ribosomal RNA". It matches the Rfam family "Bacterial small subunit ribosomal RNA", at positions 338 to 795 of the family's 1533-position model. The record is from RNAcentral.
CCUACGGGAGGCAGCAGUGAGGAAUAUUGGUCAAUGGACGAGAGUCUGAACCAGCCAAGUAGCGUGAAGGAUGACUGCCCUAUGGGUUGUAAACUUCUUUUAUAAAGGAAUAAAACGAGGCACGUGUGCCUUUUUGCAUGUACUUUAUGAAUAAGGAUCGGCUAACUCCGUGCCAGCAGCCGCGGUAAUACGGAGGAUCCGAGCGUUACCCGGAUUUAUUGGGUUUAAAGGGAGCGUAGAUGGGUUGUUAAGUCAGUUGUGAAAGUUUGCGGCUCAACCGUAAAAUUGCAAUUGAUACUGGCAGUCUUGAGUACAGUUGAGGUAGGCAGAAUUCGUGGUGUAGCGGUGAAAUGCGUAGAUAUCACGAAGAACCCCGAUGGCGAAGGCAGCUUACUAAACUGUGACUGACAUUGAUGCUCGAAAGUGUGGGGAUCAAACAGGAUUAGAUACCCUAGUAGUC